Long non-coding RNA from Falco peregrinus (peregrine falcon), 369 nucleotides. RefSeq lists it as uncharacterized. The transcript has 2 exons. The record is from RefSeq and is a predicted model, not a curated record. Lineage: Eukaryota; Metazoa; Chordata; Aves; Falconiformes; Falconidae.
AAAGAAGAGUAAACCUUGUAGAAAAUUACUGUUACUCACCAACUAAAAUGUCUUUUCUACAAAAUCCUUCUCAUCUAGAAUAGCUACUGAAGUACAAUAACUGAAUGAAGAACUGAAUUUUCUGAAACUGAAACUGCAGACCAACAGCUGCAAGAAGAGAAGGCAGUGCAACAUGCUGAACUACGUCUUCCAAAGAAAAGCACUGCCGGGCGAUCAGUAUAGCAACGAAAGUCGCCAGGGAAUCAUGGAACGACAGGUCACUCACCUUGAAGGAAAAACACUGCAAGGCUUCACAUUAACUGCACACACCAUAGCCAUGAUUAUUAAGGAAUUAACUAUCAGAAUAAACAGUUAAACGUUUACCCAGAA